CGCGUGGGAAUCCACCCCAAAGUGAGGGAUAACGCACCGAAAGGUGUGCUAAUACCGCAUAUGGUCUUCGGAUUAAAGUUUUAACGCUUUGGGAGGAGCCCGCGUCGGAUUAGAUAGUUGGUGAGGUAAUGGCUCACCAAGUCGACGAUCCGUAGCUGGUCUGAGAGGAUGAUCAGCCAGACUGGAACUGAGAUACGGUCCAGACUCCUACGGGAGGCAGCAGUGAGGAAUAUUCCACAAUGGGCGAAAGCCUGAUGGAGCAAUGCCGCGUGCAGGAUGAAGGCCUUCGGGUUGUAAACUGCUUUUAUAUGAGAAGACUAUGACGGUAACAUAUGAAUAAGGACCGGCUAACUACGUG
This 358-nucleotide ribosomal RNA is filed under the name uncultured bacterium. Its description in RNAcentral is "bacterial SSU rRNA". It matches the Rfam family "Bacterial small subunit ribosomal RNA", at positions 114 to 507 of the family's 1533-position model. The record is from RNAcentral.